RNAcentral lists this ribosomal RNA (492 nucleotides) under uncultured bacterium. Its description in RNAcentral is "partial 16S ribosomal RNA". It matches the Rfam family "Bacterial small subunit ribosomal RNA", at positions 36 to 507 of the family's 1533-position model. The record is from RNAcentral.
CUUUCCCUCUUUCUUUCGGCCUAACACAUGCAAGUCGAACGGCAGCACAGUAAGAGCUUGCUCUUACGGGUGGCGAGUGGCGGACGGGUGAGGAAUACAUCGGAAUCUACUUUUUCGUGGGGGAUAACGUAGGGAAACUUACGCUACUACCGCAUACGACCUACGGGUGAAAGCAGUGGAUCUUCGGACCUUGCGCGACUGAAUGAGCCGAUGUCGGAUUAGCUAGUUGGCGGGGUAAAGGCCCACCAAGGCCACGAUCCGUAGCUGGUCUGAGAGGAUGAUCAGCCACACUGGAACUGAGACACGGUCCAGACUCCUACGGGAGGCAGCAGUGGGGAAUAUUGGACAAUGGGCGAAAGCCUGAUCCAGCCAUACCGCGUGGGUGAAGAAGGCCUUCGGGUUGUAAAGCCCUUUUGUUGGGAAAGAAAAGCAGCAGAUUAAUACCCCGCUGUUCUGACGGUACCCAAAGAAUAAGCACCGGCUAACUUCGUG